AAAAAAAAAAAAAGAAGAAAGCAGUACGUAUUCAAUUUGUGUUACCCAUCUCGGAUUUUUUUCUUGUUUCUUAUCCCGUUGUGUUUUCCUUAAUUCGUUGGUUUCCAUCGCUCAUUGUGGUGUUGUUUUCUGCGUAGUACUGAUUUUUGGGUUCCAGUCUACGUUUAGGCGUCUAUCUUUUCUUUGUCGAGUCCUAUCUUAUCUGUGUAUUUUGCUGUGGUUCUUGUGAGGCGUGACAUC
RNAcentral lists this long non-coding RNA (240 nucleotides) under Salvia miltiorrhiza (redroot sage). Its description in RNAcentral is "long non-coding RNA (SMIL_LNC012526)". Lineage: Eukaryota; Viridiplantae; Streptophyta; Magnoliopsida; Lamiales; Lamiaceae. The record is from RNAcentral.